CAUACGUUACUCGUUGUCGAGAGAGAAGAGUCGAAUCAUUUCGAAAGUAUUCAAAGAUAACGACGAAGCUCAUUGCGGGGAGGUCAGAGUCGAAUCUAAUCUGGUAGCCAUCGCCGGAAACCCAAUACAGUCCGCUUCAGGUUCAUUCUCUUUCUAAUUAUUAGAAUUGCGCCACUGAUCGCCCGCCCUUAUCGCCCCAUUCCUCAUCAACGGUUUACCUGUGGAAUACUAAACUGCUGCGUGCGUAUAUGUUCGAAUUGGUAUUGCGAACCUUGCUUCCCUAAGGAAAUAGGUUAGGUAGUGAAAAAGGGUAUAGAUUAUAUAUAGGUACCCAACUAUCUGAAUGUGAGGACCCCAUAACUAAUCCUUCAGUUAACUUGCUUCCCUAAGGAAAUAGGUUAGGUAGUGAAAAAGGGUAUAGAUUAUAGGUACCAGCAGUGCUCCAAGAGUGUUUCAGCACCUGCAAAUGAAUAAUGAAUUUGAUCUUCUCUCUCAACACUGGCGCCGGCUUGGCUCUCUACAUCGUCUCAUCAUCAUUCCCUUCAUCGGUAACCUUCUUCAUUCUACACACUCAUUCGAUCCCCUUUCUAUUUUUGUAACCUUCUUCAUUCUACACACUCUUUUGAUCCCCUUUCUAUUUUUGUAAUCUUGCUCACCAUCUGUUUAAUGAAAUGCGUCCGAGAACCUCUUUUUUUUUUUUAAUGAUCAGUUGAAUUGAAUAUGGUAAGGUUUGCAAUUUUGAUUAACAUGAACAACUCUACAUUGAACACUGAAAUGGUUUAUGUAUAGUGCUUGCUGUUCCAUUUGGUGUAGGGUAAAUUUUGUGGAAUUUCCAGAGUUGAUAGAGAUUGAUUUGUUUUGAAUCUAUUUUAAGGAAGUCUGUUGGAUUUUGGUACUAUUCAAUUUGAGAUGAGUAGUUAGUUCCUUGAUUGUUUUGUAACUCAAUUUUGAGUUAUGCAGCUUAUUCGUUCCAUAUUUCAUUUUUCUCGCUUAAUGUGUUUUAAAGCUGAAGAUUGACCGGAAGUUAUGGUUUAUUGUUUUGUUAUGAAAUGGAAUGGAAUGGUGCAGCAGUUCCAACGGUGGAGGCUGGAGCAGAGCUAGUGCUCAUGGACCAGUUGAUGGCUGAAUAUGCCCAAUGACUCUUUUUGUGUA
RNA transcript from Fragaria vesca subsp. vesca, 1152 nucleotides. RefSeq lists it as uncharacterized. The record is from RefSeq and is a predicted model, not a curated record. NCBI's taxonomy places the organism in Eukaryota, Viridiplantae, Streptophyta, Magnoliopsida, Rosales, Rosaceae. The transcript is spliced from 2 exons.